GUCGAACGAGAAGGGACUGCUUGCAGUCCCGAGUAGAGUGGCGCACAGGGUGAGUAACACGUGGAUAAUCUACCUUUGAAUUUGGAAUAACUAUUCGAAAGGAUAGCUAAUACUUAGAUAAAGUCUUUUUAACCUUGGUUGGGAAGAUGAAAGACAGCCUCUUCUUGAAAGCUGUUGUUUGAAGAUGAGUCCGCGCACCAUUAGCUUGUUGGUGGGGUAAAGGCCUACCAAGGCUACGAUGGUUAGCUGGUCUGAGAGGAUGAUCAGCCACACUGGAACUGACACACGGUCCAGACUCCUACGGGAGGCAGCAGUGAGGGAUUUUGCGCAAUGGGGGAAACCCUGACGCAGCAACGCCGCGUGAGCGAAGAAGGCCUUUGGGUCGUAAAGCUCUGUCGACAGGGAAGAAGUUACAAUAUAUAAAUAGUGUAUUGUAUUGACGGUACCUGUAGAGGAAGCAUCGGCUAACUCCGUGCCAGCAGCCGCGGUAAUACGGGGGAUGCAAGCGUUAUUCGGAAUCAUUGGGCGUAAAGGGCACGCAGGCGGAUCUGUCAGUCAGAUGUGAAAGCC
This 570-nucleotide ribosomal RNA is filed under the name uncultured bacterium. Its description in RNAcentral is "bacterial SSU rRNA". It matches the Rfam family "Bacterial small subunit ribosomal RNA", at positions 61 to 602 of the family's 1533-position model. The record is from RNAcentral.